CUCAAUUUUGAGAGAAUACUUUUGUUGAGAAGCUUUAGAGAGAGAGAGAGAGAAGUUGUGUUGGAAGCUUAACUCUAGAAAGAGGGAGGUCAAAAAUUGAAAACCAAUGAACGAACCUUAAUCUUUGUCAAGAGACGUAAACGUAAGAGCACUAGGAGCAUCCUCUCGUUCUAGUUUCUCUCUCUAGUUUUCUCUACUAGGGUUGUUAUUUGGGGCUACUAUUUGGUGCUGCUGUUUGGGAGGGGGCCUCCGGCCUCUCUCCGGUCGCCUCUCUCCUCUUUCCAAUUUUUUUCUUUUACAUUUUGCAAAAUAACUCUUGGGAGAUUAUUCUUCCCACUCUCUCCCUCCUUGUGAGGUGCUUAUCCCCCUAGGGUGGAAAUUUGUUUUUGCGUUUUCUCCCCCUUCACUUCCCAACCGGAUUUAGAUCUGCCACUUCUCCACCGCCUUUCACCGUUUCAUGCCGCCACAACCACAACACCAACGGAUCUACCGCCCAUCGCCUAUAUUCUCGCUACCGACACAACCACCAAGACGUCGUGGCCAUCCUUCCACCAGAUCUGAUAUUUCUUCCCCAGAUCUUUUUUUUGGUUUGUUUCUUUUUGAGUUUUUUUCAACUUUUAUUCUGUGUUUCAGUUUGUUUGGGCUUGAUGGGUGUGAUUUUGGUAGCUUACCCUCUCUAGAGUGAAGCUUUUGUGGUAUCUCCGACUAGUCCUAGUGCUGAUCUCUUAUGAUCACUUCUGCUUUGCAAUACGGGUUAGGAUCGUGUAUGAUCAUAUUUUUGAUACUAUUUUAACUUUGCUUAUGUGUCUCUUUGCUCAUUUUUCCUUUGCUAGGGUAAGCUCUAUUUGUGUAAGCAUGGACUCUCUUGUAAGUGCCGUUUUGGCUUAUCAUUAAUGGAUUUUUCUCCCAUUUAAAAAAAAAAAAAAAAAUCUUUGUCAAGAGACUCAACAAAUUGAGGAUUUUUGGUAAAAAAAAGUUUAAGCUUAAAUUCUUGUAGAUUAAGCAUCUAGCAACUAAAAUUACGUAGUAAUUGGGUUUAAUUUCAUGAAAUUAGAGGGAAAUUAGAGAAGUAAUGAAGGAAAAUUGGGUUAAGAUUUAUAAUUAAUAAAUUGAUAAUGUAAUGUGUUAUUGGGUUAGAUUUUAUUGUCAUCCUUCAUAAUUUGAAGUCUAACCUUACAUGCAUUGUAAAUUUUCAAGAUUUUAGACUUUAAUUCAUGUUUUAAAGGUUUAUGAGUUUAAAUUAGGUUUGAUAUGAAGAAAAUUAAUAAAAAUCUAAAUUAGAGCAAUUUAAGAAGUAAAUUAUGAUUUGAAAAUAUAAAAUUAGUUAGUUUUGAUCUUAAUUUCAUACAUGCAAAUAAUUUUCUAAGAAGCUUCUAAUUUUAAUUUCAUGUUUUGAAGGAAGAUAGAAAAGAGUUUAAAGUCAAUUUUAUGUAAACAAAAAGAAAUUGAUAAGAAAAUGAAGAAUUAGAGCUAAUUUCAAGUUUAUGAAAGUUCAUUUAGAAAUUAAUUAUUUUGAGUUUGAUUUUGAAAGUUAUAGUUAAAUUAAGCUUCAUAAAUUACAUGCAAUUUCAUUGUACAUUUGAUUUUGAAUUUUUUUUUUUAGAAACCAUGAGUUCAUGGGUUUUGAUUUUGAAAUUAAGCAAGAUUUUGAUUUAAGUAAAUCAAUUAAUAUUUAUGUUUCAUGAUGUUGAGUUUGGAUUUUAAAGAGUUAUUCUAUGGAGCUUUUUGUACUGAAUUUUAUUUCAGAAAUUCAUGAGUCUCAUGUUUAAUUCCAUGAUUAUUCUUCAAAAGGAAAAGAAGUUUGAAAAUAUUUAAAUGCAUGGAGUUUGAUUUAAGUCUUGACAACUUGAUGAGAUUUUGAGCAAAUGAUUUAUAAAUAAAAAAGUGUUUAUGUUUUGUGAAGUAUUUUCAAGGUUUUGAUCAAGAUGUGUGGGUUUAAAGAUUGAAAAAUGCAUUUAGAAACCAUUGUUGAGAAAUUCAGAAUUCUAGAAUUUUACAGACCACUCGAGCGGGCUAAUUACCUUUCGAGCGCACAUUGAAGGCUUCCCGUACUUUUGCAGCAUUUUACAGACCGCUUGAGUGACUAAAGGUCACGCACUAACAUCUGCCUAAUCUAUCUAAUCUGUUGAUCUACUUCUGGAGCUAUUUGUGAUUAGGCGCUUGACCAGGCCUAAAGCUUCUGCUUGGAAGCUUUCUCUGUCAGCCAACCUAUGUACCUUCCAUGGAAGUUCCGGAUACGUCAAGUGGUCAAGGCUAUGUGAUUAAAGUUUAAGUUUUUGUUUAUUUUGUAAUUAGGGCUGAGUCCCUUUUUGUCUAAUUUGUAUAUAUACGUAAGGAUGAUGUGUGUAUAUAUAUGUAUGUAAAGUUUAAAAUUUUUCUGUCUCAUAUAUGUCAGCACAGUUCAAUAGACAUUAUAUAUUUAUUAUUUGCUUCCACUAG
This is a long non-coding RNA of Camellia sinensis, 2439 nucleotides long. RefSeq lists it as uncharacterized. The record is from RefSeq and is a predicted model, not a curated record. Lineage: Eukaryota; Viridiplantae; Streptophyta; Magnoliopsida; Ericales; Theaceae.